This 499-nucleotide ribosomal RNA is filed under the name uncultured bacterium. RNAcentral describes it as "partial 16S ribosomal RNA". It matches the Rfam family "Bacterial small subunit ribosomal RNA", at positions 28 to 507 of the family's 1533-position model. The record is from RNAcentral.
GAUGAACGCUGGCGGCGUGCCUAAUACAUGCAAGUCGAGCGAACAGACGAGAGUGCUUGCACUCUCUGACGUUAGCGGCGGACGGGUGAGUAACACGUGGGUAACCUACCUAUAAGACUGGGAUAACUUCGGGAAACCGGAGCUAAUACCGGAUAAUAUUUAGCUUCGCAUGAAGCAAUAGUGAAAGACGGUUCUGCUGUCACUUAUAGAUGGACCCGCGGUGUAUUAGCUAGUUGGUGAGGUAACGGCUCACCAAGGCAACGAUACAUAGCCGACCUGAGAGGGUGAUCGGCCACACUGGGACUGAGACACGGCCCAGACUCCUACGGGAGGCAGCAGUAGGGAAUCUUCCGCAAAGGGCGAAAGUCUGACGGAGCAAUGCCGCGUGAGUGAAGAAGGUUUUCGGAUCGUAAAACUCUGUUGUAAGGGAAGAACAAGUACGUUAGUAACUGAACGUACCUUGACGGUACCUUACCAGAAAGCCACGGCUAACUACGUG